RNAcentral lists this ribosomal RNA (492 nucleotides) under uncultured bacterium. Its description in RNAcentral is "partial 16S ribosomal RNA". It matches the Rfam family "Bacterial small subunit ribosomal RNA", at positions 29 to 507 of the family's 1533-position model. The record is from RNAcentral.
AGUGAACGCUGGCGGUAGGCCUAACACAUGCAAGUCGAACGGCAGCACAGUAAGAGCUUGCUCUUACGGGUGGCGAGUGGCGGACGGGUGAGGAAUACAUCGGAAUCUACUUUUUCGUGGGGGAUAACGUAGGGAAACUUACGCUAAUACCGCAUACGACCUACGGGUGAAAGCAGGGGAUCUUCGGACCUUGCGCGAUUGAAUGAGCGGAUGUCGGAUUAGCUAGUCGGCGGGGUAAAGGCCCACCAAGGCAACGAUCCGUAGCUGGUCUGAGAGGAUGAUCAGCCACACUGUAACUGAGACACGGUCCAGACUCCUACGGGAGGCAGCAGUGGGGAAUAUUGGACAAUGGGGGCGAGCCUGAUCCAGCCAUACCGCGUGGGUGAAGAAGGCCUUCGGGUUGUAAAGCCCUUUUGUUGGGAAAGAAAAGCAGCAGGUUAAUACCCCGCUGUUCUGACGGUACCCAAAGAAUAAGCACCGGCUAACUUCGUG